GUUGCCCAAGCCCAGCAGAAGAAAGGAAGAAAGCCAGAGGGAGAAAGAAAAACUUCUUCAAACCCCUCAGGAGGACAGCAAAGAAGCUACAUAUGGUCUAUCGUGCAUCCACAUGACCACGACACGGUGGGAAUUGCUAUGAUCUCAGGGGAUCAUUCCGUAGGAAAGCAAAGAUGCAAUAGCCUUAGCUCAAAAAUGAAGAGGUACAGAUGGAAGGAUGCAGACUUUCAAC
RNAcentral lists this long non-coding RNA (232 nucleotides) under Gallus gallus (chicken). The record is from RNAcentral. Lineage: Eukaryota; Metazoa; Chordata; Aves; Galliformes; Phasianidae.